AGAGUUUGAUCCUGGCUCAGGACGAACGCUGGCGGCGCGCCUAACACAUGCAAGUCGAACGAGCGAGAGAGAGCUUGCUUUCUCGAGCGAGUGGCGAACGGGUGAGUAACGCGUGAGGAACCUGCCCCAAAGAGGGGGACAACAGUUGGAAACGACUGCUAAUACCGCAUAAGCCCACGGCUCGGCAUCGAGCAGAGGGAAAAGGAGCAAUCCGCUUUGAGAUGGCCUCGCGUCCGAUUAGCUAGUUGGUGAGGUAACGGCCACCAAGGCGACGAUCGGUAGCCGGACUGAGAGGUUGAACGGCCACAUUGGGACUGAGACACGGCCCAGACUCCUACGGGAGCA
RNAcentral lists this ribosomal RNA (345 nucleotides) under uncultured bacterium. RNAcentral describes it as "bacterial SSU rRNA". It matches the Rfam family "Bacterial small subunit ribosomal RNA", at positions 8 to 349 of the family's 1533-position model. The record is from RNAcentral.